This 253-nucleotide ribosomal RNA is filed under the name uncultured bacterium. RNAcentral describes it as "partial 16S ribosomal RNA". It matches the Rfam family "Bacterial small subunit ribosomal RNA", at positions 524 to 776 of the family's 1533-position model. The record is from RNAcentral.
UACGUAGGGACCAAGCGUUGUCCGGAAUCAUUGGGCGUAAAGCGCGCGUAGGUGGCUUCGUAAGUCCGUUGUGAAAGUCAAAGGCUCAACCUUUGAAAGCCGAUGGAUACUGCGGAGCUAGAGUACGGAAGAGGCGAGUGGAAUUCCUGGUGUAGCGGUGGAAUGCGCAGAUAUCAGGAGGAACACCAAUAGCGAAGGCAGCUCGCUGGGACGUUACUGACACUGAAGCGCGAAAGCGUGGGGAGCGAACAGG